RNAcentral lists this non-coding RNA (21 nucleotides) under Arabidopsis thaliana (thale cress). The record is from RNAcentral. Lineage: Eukaryota; Viridiplantae; Streptophyta; Magnoliopsida; Brassicales; Brassicaceae.
UUAAGACCAGGAGCGUAUCGC